AUAUAAUUACAGUCAGAGCUGUGACACCAAGAGCUCUUAACGUUAUGACCAAAGAUUGAAGUUCUCCAUGGGAUACCAUAGUCACUUAGUAGGGAUAAGCUUUCCUUAAUAGAUACAAAA
RNAcentral lists this small nucleolar RNA (120 nucleotides) under Castor canadensis (American beaver). RNAcentral's name for it is "Small nucleolar RNA SNORA25 (ENSCCNG00000004070.1)". Lineage: Eukaryota; Metazoa; Chordata; Mammalia; Rodentia; Castoridae. The record is from RNAcentral.